UACCAGACUCCUACGGGAGGCAGCAGUGAGGAAUAUUGGUCAAUGGGCGGGAGCCUGAACCAGCCAAGUCGCGUGAGGGAUGACGGCCCUAUGGGUUGUAAACCUCUUUUGCCGGGGAGCAAAGUGCCGCACGUGUGCGGUUUGGAGAGUACCCGGAGAAAAAGCAUCGGCUAACCCCGUGCCAGCAGCCGCGGUAAUACGGAGGAUGCGAGCGUUAUCCGGAUUUACUGGGUGUAAAGGGAGCGCAGACGGCAGUGCAAGUCUGGAGUGAAAGCCCGGGGCCCAACCCCGGAACUGCUCUGGAAACUGUGCGGCUAGAGUACUGGAGGGGCAGGCGGAAUUCCUAGUGUAGCGGUGAAAUGCGUAGAUAUUAGGAGGAACACCAGUGGCGAAGGCGGCCUGCUGGACAGUAACUGACGUUGAGGCUCGAAAGCGUGGGGAGCAAACAGGAUUAGAUACCCCAGUAC
This 467-nucleotide ribosomal RNA is filed under the name uncultured bacterium. Its description in RNAcentral is "bacterial SSU rRNA". It matches the Rfam family "Bacterial small subunit ribosomal RNA", at positions 329 to 793 of the family's 1533-position model. The record is from RNAcentral.